RNAcentral lists this non-coding RNA (27 nucleotides) under Homo sapiens (human). Lineage: Eukaryota; Metazoa; Chordata; Mammalia; Primates; Hominidae. The record is from RNAcentral.
UGCGAGCCAGGUGUGGGAUAUAAUCUC